GUGCUCACCUCAGCAUCACACAUGCAAAAAGUGGAACAAUACAGAGAUUAGCAUGGCCCCUCCACAAGUAUGACACAUAAAUUCAUGAAGUGUCCCUUGGCACA
Small nuclear RNA from Callithrix jacchus (white-tufted-ear marmoset), 104 nucleotides. Lineage: Eukaryota; Metazoa; Chordata; Mammalia; Primates; Cebidae. The record is from Ensembl.